Paramisgurnus dabryanus is the source of this 3035-nucleotide non-coding RNA. Lineage: Eukaryota; Metazoa; Chordata; Actinopteri; Cypriniformes; Cobitidae. The record is from RefSeq and is a predicted model, not a curated record.
CACUCUGCUUAUUAAUUCAUUUUUCUUAAUUACUAGACCAUAAUCUCGACCUAGUGGAGAAGGACUAUACUGUGAACACAGUUGCUGGGGCGUUAAAAAGUUUCUUCUCAGAGCUGCCAGAGCCUCUGAUUCCUUAUAGCUCACAGGUGGAGCUGGUGGAAGCUUUCAAAAUUAAUGACAGAGAACAGAGGCUGCACACCAUGAAGGACGUGUUAAGGCGAUUUCCCAGGGAAAAUUAUGAUGUCUACAAACAUGUUAUGAGCCAUCUAAACAAGGUUAGUCAGUGGAACAGAGUCAACUUAAUGACCAGUGAAAAUCUAUCCAUCUGUUUUUGGCCAACACUGAUGCGGCCAGACUUCACUUCUAUGGAUGCCCUGACAGCUACGGCAACCUACAAGACAAUCAUUGAGACAUUUAUUCAUCAGUGUGCUUUCUUCUUUUACAACCAGCCUCCUGCUGAGUCACCCACUGGCCUCUAUGCACCCUCUGGACCACUGGUGCCCUCUGGAUUGCCCCCAUCUCCCACAGCUGCCCCUAAUUAUUGCCCCCCAACCCAACAUUUUACCUCCCUUUUGCACUCGCCCCCACAUUCUCCGCCUCAGAGUCCACGCACAUCCCCUGCAGAACCACAAACACUAUGAGCGUGGGGAGAAAGUGGUCUGUGGUUUAUUAAACUCCAUUCACAAACAUAGACUUGUGUAAUGCAUGCUUACACAGCUACAUAUACAUAUUCUACACAAUGCCUUUAACAUGUAGCUUGUUUAGGUCAGUGCUCUAUGUGAAAAAAAGUGUGCUGGGUUCUCAGUACUUCUAUUUGGGGAAGAUUUUGGGAUUUACAUCUACCACUAUGGACAUAAAAAAACAACACGCACAGCAGAUGAAUGUCUGUGCGCUUAUGAACUGUACAAUCUGGGUAACUAACAAAGGUGUCGUUUUCGACAUGACAACACUGAUGUAGUUUAUUACAGAAGGGGAUGUUCUUCAUUUUCAGUGUAGAUAAAUGCUCUUGUCAGAAAGGAUAUGAACCGUUUGAAGGACUUUAAGAUUUAAGACUGCUCUGCCUCCCCUUUCUCUUCUUUUUUUAUCUGCUUGCCCUCUACAGUAUAUAAAACUCUAGUAGGACACUGUAGUGAGGAAAAAUCAUGAAGCACUUAUACAUUAUCAAGGAUUUCAUCUAAAAAUGUUUUGAAAGAAAAAAGUAGAAUUUUUUUUUCAAAGAUGAAUGAGAUCACUUUAGCUGCAACCAUAUUUACUACUUUGCCUGGCUCUUGUGUCCCACAUUAACAUCCAGUGACAGCCGGUGACUUCUUUUCCAAGGGGCACGAAUUCAAAAUAUGGGUUUGGAGUGUUGUGUAUGGCUCGUCAUGUCAAAAUAGGUGAUGCGACAUGUUAACAAUGUGCAUCAUGCGUCUUGUCAAAACACAUGCCUGCUGCACAUGCAUCAAAAGGAUUUAUGAUUAAAGAGUUUACAAAAUACUCGCAAGACACUUACUUGACACUAAACUCUGAUUACACAUGAGAUUAAGUGAUUAAGUAUCUGGCAAAUGUGAGCGCCUUUUUUAUCAUAAACCUCUUUGAAGCGUAUGCAGCAAGUUUUUUGACAUGUUGCAUGAUGCACACAGGUUCACAUGAUGCAACGAACACGCAUUUUGAUGUGACGGGCUAAAUACAUGCUGUGAUGAGCUUUGCAUCACGCACCCUCGAAAAAUAACUCACAGGCCGCAACUGUUGCCAUCAUUGAUUCAUAUUAAGGAAAUAUACAAAUAUACCAUGGUUUUAGAGGAUGUAUUGCUCCUCGCUUCCAAGACUUGAAGUUCUGUUACCUGAUAGGUCCAAAGGAUUUGUUUUGCCAAGUGGCUCCUGUGGAUCUUUACUCAUAAAUUCAGCUAAUGGAGAGUACAUGCCCUUUUCUUUUGAAGUCUGUAAUUUAAUUGGUGAUAUCACUUGGGAAUUCUCUUCAGUUAGCACUGGUGAGGGGCUUGAGAUCGCUGGGUUUACGAAUUUUCUCGGAUCCUUAAACUAUAGCCUUUGAAAUGACCAAUUCAAAACCCUCACACCUUAAUUUUGGACUCAGUUAAGCAUAUAUAUGUAAAUAAGGCCUUGAAGGCCUUUCAUUGAUGCCCAGUCUGACAGUUUUUACCUUAUAAUCUAAAGCACUUUUUGUUUUUAUAUAGACCUGUAUUGUGCAACACUGAAUAAUUAUUGGUUAAACUUGUGGCCACCGUGUUAGAAAGGUCAUUGAACUUUUUCAUGGUGAAUGUAGAGUGCGAAGACGCACAUUAAGAUUUAAGUCCUAGACUUAAUUUCACUCUAAAUGAUUUGUUGUGCAUUAGUAUGUCUUUGUCUGCUGUUUCGUAUGUAUUUCAUGGACCUUUUGUACAGCUUGAAGUUUGGCUGACGUGGACCUUAAAGUCAUAUCACAAUUUUUAUUGUCAUCUUCAUGUAACUGAAUCAGAAGGACUGCUUUUUCCAUCCCAUUUCUUCUGGACAAAUCCAUGAUGUAUAAAGAUGCAAUGGCUUAUUGUGUGUAGAUUGUAUGUAUAUUACCUUUUUCUCUCGAAAGUGAAGCGUUUGAAAUGAAGGAAAUUAUUCCUCAAUAUGUUUGCCGUGAAAUACCACUUCCUGUUUUUAUACAGCCAAGGUACAAAAGCUGAAGUACCAAAGUAGUCCAAUGUUGGCUGAUGAGGGUUCAACACCGGUUAUAAAAAUGUUAAUGACUGGUUUGGGGAUGUGCAUGCCAGCUCGGAUUCUUGACAAAAAGGCAUAUGGUGAGCAACCCAUAAUGAAUGAUUUAACUAUUCUUUAUCCUUUUGAUUCUGUGUAUCUGCUGCUUUUUGCCAGGAUGAACAAAUCUAAAGUGACCCGGGUAUUACUUGAAGUAUACGAUUGUUCUUCGUGUGAUUUCCAGCAAACCAUUAGAAUUAGUAACUAUAGAGCUCCAGCUGACGUCACACAGCCUAAACUCCGCCUUUUUGGCAGGUAAUCGUAGAGCAGUUAAGUGCUGUAUCAUUGGUAUCGAUAAUGAUUGAACCAAA